Non-coding RNA from Chrysemys picta bellii (western painted turtle), 2255 nucleotides. The record is from RefSeq and is a predicted model, not a curated record. NCBI's taxonomy places the organism in Eukaryota, Metazoa, Chordata, Testudines, Emydidae.
UUACCUGUUAGGUUCACUCCCUCUGGGGCACCUGGCAUUGGCCACUGUUGGUAGACAGGAUGCUGGGCUAGAUGGACCUUUGUUCUGACCCAGUACGGCCGUUCUUAUGUUCUUAUGUAGGAGACCAGUGGGCAUGGGAAGGAGGGUUCAGGGGGCUAGGGCCCCAGGGAGCGGGUGCAGGGGGCUGGGGCAUGAGAAGGAGGGUGCAGCCAGUGCAUGGGGGACAGACUGUAGGUGUGUGGACUGGUGGCUGGGGACAGUCCUUGGAUGGGAGGCUAGAUAGACACAGUCCCUGGAUGGAGGGAUUGAGGGCAGGGAGCAAGUGCUGGGGGGGGAGGUCCUGGGUGGAGGACUGGAUGCUGGAGGGGGCAGUCCCUGGGGGGGCUGUUCUGCCCUGGACAGGGCACCCUGUCUCUUCAAAGCAGGCACGUGUGCCAGACCACUGUUGGGGGGGUGUCUGGAUGCUGGGGGGGACAGUCCCAGGAGGGUUGGGUGAUGUGGGGCAUUCCCUAGGUGGGGGGACUGGGUGCCUGGAGUACAGUCCCUGGCUCGGGUGAGCACCCCACCCUGGGCAGGGCUCCUCAUCUUUGCAGGCGGGCUCCGCAGCCAUGCUCUCCAGGCACCCAGCCUAGCCACGCUGCCAGCAGCAGCGUGUCAUGCCAUGCCACUCCUCCAGUAAAUUAAUUUUAAGUUAAUGUCUUAACUUAUUUUGCUAAUUUAAAAUGCUCUUGAUAGACAUUUGCCAGUAUUGAAAUGAAAGGUACUAAAUUGAUUUGAAUCGUAUUGCUAUCAUAUAACAAAUACUAAAUCUUUUUUUUUUUUCCCAGAAGUAUUGCAGUGGUUCUCAAACUGUGGGUUGGAACCCCAAAGUGGGUCGCAACCCUGUUUUAAUGGGGUUGCCAGAGCUGGCGUUAGACUUGCUGGGGCCUGGGACUGAAGCCGAAGCCUGAGCUUUGACUUCCCUUAAGCUUCAGCUUCCAUUUAGCUUCACACCAACCUGGGGUGGCAGGGCUUAGGUUGUGCCCCCCUGCCCAGGGCGGCAGGGCUUGGUGGGGCUUAGGUUUCUGUCCCCCCUGCUGGGGUCAUGUAGUAAUUUUUUGUUGUCAGAAGGGGGUCCCGGUGCAAUGAAAUUUGAGAACCCAUGAUGUAUUGUAUUGUGGAUGGGGCCCACAUAACACAUAGAGAGCUGUAUGCGUCCCACAAUGGUAAAUAGGUUAAGAACCACUGUUCUAGAGAUAUAACCUUCAGUCUAAAUUCCAUGUGGUAUGCAGACAGAAUUACUUUCUAUUGGAAAAAUCUUCUAUUCUGCAUGCAUAUCAGAAUGCAGGAUCAAAUCUAAUGUCUAUUUAGUGAAAAUCAUUAGACUCUCAGAUACAUUUAUACCCAUUAUGUGUAUAUAUAAAGUAUCAUUUGAAAAUCAAAAUAAAAUUUCAAAAAUGUUUUGAUAUUUCCAGAAAGGAUUUGAUGUGUUCAAUGCACUAGACUUGAUGGAAAACAAAACAUUCCUGGAAAAACUCAAGUUUGGGAUAGGAGAUGGGAACUUGCAGUAUUAUUUGUACAACUGGCGGUGUCCUGGCAUGGAAUCCGAAAAGGUUGGCCUUGUAUUACAAUAAGGAGGACCAUUGUGUUUCUAGAACUCUGAAGCUGUCAUUUGGAUUGAUUUAAUCUACAUAACAGUUCUUGGAACAGUAUUGUUCAAGAGGAAUAAAAGCACAACAUCAGUGAAAUUGAAAUAAUCCAUCAAAACUAAAAUAAUGAAGAAAUCCGUAGCUGACCAAUUUUCACAUUUUCAGAUAAAAUGGAAAGUUCAUGAAACUUUUAUUGUCCAUAAAAAGAAUAAAAGCACAUUCAUUUAAUUUUCAAAGCUUAGCUCGCACCUUGAUAAAAAGACGGUAUUUUUUUCCACUCUGUAGAAAAGACUGUUUUGUACAAACUGAACUGCAGUGGUGGAUUAGGGUACGAAAAUCUUUGCUAUUAUGUGAAUGAACUGCUGCAUUUCUAUUUAUUAAGUGGUGGUGUAUGUUUGUCAGUGUAACAGAAUGAAGGAUCCAAACUGAGUAUCUUUGCUUAUAAAAUUCACAUGGAUGUCAUCAUUUGGGGUAAAAUAAUGGAGUUAUGAUACAUUUGUAGCUAAUAGGAAAGUCUUGGAUGUUUUUGUAACUGGAGCAGUAUGAAAAUGUGCUGGUUUGACUAGUGCAUUUGUUUCUCCAUAAGCAACGCUGCCAAAUCAAUAAAAAUACAGAUUUGUACUUUGA